RNAcentral lists this ribosomal RNA (440 nucleotides) under uncultured Vibrio sp. RNAcentral describes it as "bacterial SSU rRNA". It matches the Rfam family "Bacterial small subunit ribosomal RNA", at positions 338 to 795 of the family's 1533-position model. The record is from RNAcentral. Lineage: Bacteria; Pseudomonadati; Pseudomonadota; Gammaproteobacteria; Vibrionales; Vibrionaceae.
CCUACGGGGGGCAGCAGUGGGGGAUAUUGCACAAUGGGCGAAAGCCUGAUGCAGCAACGCCGCGUGAAGGAAGACGGUUUUCGGAUUGUAAACUUCUAUCAGCAGGGAAGAAAAUGACGGUACCUGACUAAGAAGCCCCGGCUAACUACGUGCCAGCAGCCGCGGUAACACGUAGGGGGCAAGCGUUGUUCGGAAUCAUUGGGCGUAAAGGGCGUGCAGGCGGUGUUGCAAGUCUGGCGUGAAAGAUCUCGGCUUAACCGAGGGAACGCGCUGGAAACUGUAACACUAGAGUACAGGAGGGGACAUUGGAAUUCCAGGUGUAGGGGUGAAAUGCGUAGAUAUCGGGAAGAACACCAGUGGCGAAGGCGGCUUACUGGCCAGCAACUGACGCUGAGGCGCGAAAGCCAGGGGAGCGAACGGGAUUAGAUACCCCAGUAGUC